Molecule: small RNA, 133 nt
Filed under: Klebsiella michiganensis
Lineage: Bacteria; Pseudomonadati; Pseudomonadota; Gammaproteobacteria; Enterobacterales; Enterobacteriaceae
Description: partial RtT sRNA
Rfam family: RtT RNA
About the family: This family represents a bacterial cis-regulatory element known as RtT RNA. The exact function of RtT is unknown although it is thought that it may be involved in changing the cellular response in relation to amino acid starvation.
Source: RNAcentral
AUUGGUCGCAGGUUCGAAUCCUGCACGACCCACCAAUUUAACAUCGCAGUCAGAUGUUAAGCGUGAAGGAUAACGUUGCGUCAGCAACGGCCCGUAGGGCGAGCGAAAGCGAGUCAUCCUGCACGACCCACCA